RNAcentral lists this ribosomal RNA (170 nucleotides) under uncultured bacterium. Its description in RNAcentral is "partial 16S ribosomal RNA". It matches the Rfam family "Bacterial small subunit ribosomal RNA", at positions 1317 to 1500 of the family's 1533-position model. The record is from RNAcentral.
UACAUGAAGCUGGAAUUGCUAGUAAUCACAGGUCAGCAUACUGUGGUGAAUACGUUCCCGGGCCUUGUACACACCGCCCGUCACACCAUGAGAGUUGAGAAUACCCGAAGCCCAUGUCAAAGUGGUCGAAGGUAGGCUUGAUGAUUGGGGUGAAGUCGUAACAAGGUAGC